AAACCUUCAAGUCAAAGGGGCCUGCUGUACUAAUGGAAGAGAGGUCUCAUCAGGACCUUGGGUGUGGUACAUCAGUCUCUCAGUUCCAGAUGAGAGCAAACAGAAUCCUAACAAAUGCAAUCACAAAACUCCUUGAGAUGUACACUGCUCUAGGGAGAAGACCAGACAGAAUACCAGCAGUGACACACAGAUGAUGACACUAGUUUUUUCUCCCCCAGAGGGAGAAUAUGCAUCCUAUUGUGACAAAACUCCUUGUUUGCUGAGAAAAAAGAAGUAUUCUGCAUGGUACCAGCACUGCAGACAUUUGGGGUUUUUUUGUUUGUUUGGUUGGUUGGUUUACUGGAAGAUUUCAUUGAAUAUCUCCCUGGGUUAUAGAACAUUACUUAUUUAUAGGCAUACUCAAAUCUUUUCAACUGAGGUCACAAUCUGACUGAGGUCAGAAAAAAAUCUGUCCUUUCAUUUUCCAGCUGCAAGUUUGAAAUAUCCCAUGGUAAACUUGACAUAAUGGUCUGUUUUCACUUUCCCACA
This 528-nucleotide long non-coding RNA is filed under the name Numida meleagris (helmeted guineafowl). RNAcentral's name for it is "lncRNA (ENSNMEG00000021562.1)". Lineage: Eukaryota; Metazoa; Chordata; Aves; Galliformes; Numididae. The record is from RNAcentral.